Molecule: long non-coding RNA, 496 nt
Organism: Phacochoerus africanus (Common warthog)
Lineage: Eukaryota; Metazoa; Chordata; Mammalia; Artiodactyla; Suidae
Exons: 4
Source: RefSeq, a predicted model, not a curated record
AGUUCAACUAGCAAAAGAGCUAGACAAAGACUGGCCAUGGAGGUGAAAUUGCAUUUUUAAAAUUUCCUAAAAGCAUCCCUUCUGGAAUUCCUAUCAUUUUGCAGACUCUAGUAUAGACCAGACUUCAGCAUGUGUAAGAAUGAUAAAGAAAUAUUCUGAUUGACAUGAUGAGGUGGGGAUGAAGGAUCUGCAUUUCAAACAGACUCUCAGAGGGAAGAUCAGCUUGUACUUCCGGUCCUAGGAUUAUGACAGGUGCAUACAGAAAAAGCCUUAAGAUGGAAUCUCUAGGUCAUGAGUGCCAGAAACCGUGGUUUUUGUUGGGGUGAUGCAGGCCUGGUGGUGCUGGUGGUCAUCUCUGUCCUCACAUGGAGGGAUCCUCUGGGUGAAUGAAGCUAACACACAGGGGAUAGAAGCUGAAGAUGGAGAGGGAGCGAGAAGCUCUGACAGCACUGCAUCUAGUUUUGCUAAAGACUUUCUCCCUUAGAUUGCCCAUUCC